Molecule: transfer RNA, 67 nt
Filed under: Marmota monax (woodchuck)
Lineage: Eukaryota; Metazoa; Chordata; Mammalia; Rodentia; Sciuridae
Description: tRNA.Gly
Source: RNAcentral
GGGGUUGUAGCUCAGUGGUAGAAUUCUUGCCUACCAUGCAUGAGGCAUGGUUCGAUCCUCAGCACCA